This 397-nucleotide unclassified non-coding RNA is filed under the name uncultured fungus. RNAcentral describes it as "partial contains small subunit ribosomal RNA, internal transcribed spacer 1, and 5.8S ribosomal RNA". The stretch from base 1 to 73 matches the Rfam family "Eukaryotic small subunit ribosomal RNA", at positions 1759 to 1831 of the family's 1831-position model. The record is from RNAcentral. Lineage: Eukaryota; Fungi.
UCAAACUUGGUCAUUUAGAGGAAGUAAAAGUCGUAACAAGGUUUCCGUAGGUGAACCUGCGGAAGGAUCAUUAUUGAAUAAACUUGGUGGGUUGUCGCUGGCUCUUCGGAGUAUGUGCACGCCUGCUAAUUUUAUCCAUCCACCUGUGCACCCUCUGUAGUCUUAGGAGAUGGAAGCGACUUUGGCUCGACAGGUUCGUCUGAACCUUUCGGAUGUAAGGAAUGCCUUUGCAAACUGCAUAGGCUUGCUUUGAAAGUCUGCUAUCACUUCUAAUACUAUGCUUUUUCAUACACCAUAUCGUAUGUUGCAGAAUGUAAUCAAUGGGCCUCUGUGCCUAUAAAUAUAUACAACUUUCAGCAACGGAUCUCUUGGCUCUCGCAUCGAUGAAGAACGCAGC